RNAcentral lists this transfer RNA (84 nucleotides) under Clostridia bacterium. RNAcentral describes it as "tRNA-Leu". It matches the Rfam family "tRNA". Rfam says of the family: Transfer RNA (tRNA) molecules are approximately 80 nucleotides in length. Their secondary structure includes four short double-helical elements and three loops (D, anti-codon, and T loops). Further hydrogen bonds mediate the characteristic L-shaped molecular structure. tRNAs have two regions of fundamental functional importance: the anti-codon, which is responsible for specific mRNA codon recognition, and the 3' end, to which the tRNAs corresponding amino acid is attached (by aminoacyl-tRNA synthetases). tRNAs cope with the degeneracy of the genetic code in two manners: having more than one tRNA (with a specific anti-codon) for a particular amino acid; and 'wobble' base-pairing, i.e. permitting non-standard base-pairing at the 3rd anti-codon position. Lineage: Bacteria; Bacillati; Bacillota; Clostridia. The record is from RNAcentral.
UGCGGUUGUGGUGAAAUUGGCAGACACGCCGGAUUUAGGUUCCGGUGCCGUAUGGCAUAUGGGUUCAAGUCCCUUCAGCCGCAU